Molecule: long non-coding RNA, 3113 nt
Organism: Armigeres subalbatus
Lineage: Eukaryota; Metazoa; Arthropoda; Insecta; Diptera; Culicidae
Exons: 3
Source: RefSeq, a predicted model, not a curated record
ACUGAAAAUACACUAAAUACGCUGUCAGUUAUCAUGCAUGUUUUUCUCACCGUGCAUUACUGACAGCAUCGAUGUUUUUGUUAUUUUUGUCAAACCUGUGUGUCAAUCAUUCGGUUGAUUUUAAUAUCGCUUAUAUUUUCGGCGCUACUGGCUUAUUCUCUGGUUUAGGUAGUGAUCCACACCGAUAAGUUUGCUGUUCCAGUGGUUGGGCCGUAGUCUGUGCCAUCCGGAAACUGGUGGAAAACCGGCGCCAAUGGUGUUGGUUAGGACUUGAUCCGUGAUCCUAAUCAGGAAACUACUGGGGAUGUCGUCCUCUGUUCUUUCGGUAAAACUGAUAGUCCUACCACAUAGCGCUGCCGUUGCUCGAUAUCGAAACUGUAAAAUUCCUGCUUCUGCGCAUGCAACUACCGCCGGCGUGGAGGGCAGGAGUAUCUCGUUCAGGUCGUCGUAUUUGAUGCAAAUUAUUUCUAGGACAUAAAAAAGUCGGCUGCUUACUAUGGCGUCCUAUGGCGACCGCUUUCAUCGAUCCGGCGGCCGGUUUCCUCAUCCAUUUGGCGGGAUCUGUUAUUUCCGAUCAUCACUCUAAAGUUAAAGAAUUUGAGCAUGUUGCUAGUGAUUCCCCAGGACGAGAGUCGUUGUAGGAUUCCUGUGGUGCAAGCCCUAUUAUAAGCUAUGGCUAAAUCUAGCGUUGCGAUUUCAAUAUGCAUUCCAUCUGCAAUUGCAUCUUCAAUGACCUGUCCCAGCGCCCCAAGGUACGUUCCGGUUCCUUGACCCGGACUAAAAACAUGUUGCCGAUAGUCAGUUUUUGCUCCGUGUUGAUGAAUUUCAUCAAGCGUCUGUUUACCAUCCUUUCAAGGAUUUUGACCAUACAGUUUGUUAGAGCAACGGGUCUAUACUUUCGCACGUCGUUUGAGGAGCCGGUACACUUGGGAAUCAGAACUACCAAGCUAUAUUUCCAACUAUCGAUGGUAUCGAUGAAUCGCAACGUUUUGGAUUGCAGUCGCAUAGUUUUUAUGUUUGUUAAGGAAUUUAGUAGAGUAGAGUAGAUUAUUUCCAACGGCGAUGUCCAAUAUAUUCAGUACUCUAGUGUUGUUGUUUUAACUCCCCCACGAUGACUAAUAUCGUGCUAAUAUUUAAGGAAUUCAGUCAAAAGUUCAAAAUUGAAACCAAUGGCCGCCAGCCAUGGAAGCCCACGGAAAGGAAAGCCCACAAGUUCCACCUCUUACUUGUACAACCAAUGAUAAGGAACAUGGUGGAAUACCAUGGUGACUUUUAAUCAUUGGCUCACUAAUAGUUGGUCAGUUGGUUUACCAUCGCUGGCGCACCUUCGACAAUACUCAACCAGGACACCGAGGCCGAGCGACUGUAUCUGCACAUUGGAAAACUGCCGCCUGAGUAAGACCAAGUGGACCAAGUAGACCACUGCCGAAGUCACUGCUAGUCAAUUUCUAGGGACUGCACCUCUGGCCCCAUCCCUACUUGAUAAGCCAUAGUUUGUGACAGCAAUAUUCCCGAUCAUUUACAGCAGUAAGCCCAAGUAGAAAAUAUGUGGGUCGUAAAACGGACAGGGGUCCCUUUUGAGCUAAAUCGUUAUAAAUUUGAUACAAUAUCAACUGGAUCGUACUGCUUGUUUCAAAUACGAUUUUACUCCACAGUGCUCAUCUGAUUCUUUAUCAUGUUCUGAGUGUCCUCUGAAAAUUUGAGCUCAUUUGGAUUAAAACUGAUUUAGCACAAGCUGUUUCAAGUUUGCAUGCAAAUUAGUAUGAAGAAAUUUAUUUUUUCAUUAUAUUGUUAAGAAUGCUUCCCCAUUAAGCGUAGGUUAAAAGAAAACCUACAUAGCUAAAAGGAAUACUCAACAGCUUUCACCCAACGAAAACUGCAUGUUGAUGAAUCGCCCCAAUAAUUAGUAAUCGAUUUUAAUACAGGUUGCGAAUCUUUAGUCAUGAUCGUUAAACUUCUUUCAGGGCAUCACUGAAAUGUGCAGUGCAGCAUAGUAGCCUGAAUUUGUGUGUGCUAUCUUUCGCGCCACUAGCAGCAAUGUUGCCUGUUGAUGAGUUAUGCAAUUAGCGCCAGAAAACCACAGUAUAGAUUAAAUUCGAUUACUAAUUAUUGGAACGAUUAAUUAAGAUGCGGUUUUCACUGAGUGAAAGCUUUUGAGUAUUCCUUUUAGCUAUGUAGGUUUUCUUUUAACCUGCGCUUAAUGGGGAAGCGUUAUUAACAGUAUAAUUAAAAAAUAAAUUUCCCCAUACUAAUUUGCAUGCAAACUUGAAACGGCUUGUGCUAAAUUAGUUUUUAUCCAAAUGAGCUCAAAUUUUCAGAGGACACUCAGAACAUGAUAAAGAAUCAGAUGAGCACUGUGGAGCAAAAUCAAUUUUGUUUAUUUUUUGGACACGAUAACGUCAAAAGUGGAUGUCCAUCUGGAGGUGCUAAUUCGUAAGUUUUUCGGCGACGAAACCCAUCCGGUCCACGAUGCCAGAAAGAGUGGUUAAUGUGGUGUAUACAUGUACCGGAUCUCGAUGCGAAUAAAGCCCGGUAAGUGCCAUUGCUGCAAUGGAACCGGAACAUAAACGAUGCUUACACACCAGCGUUUUACCUGUUGGUAGUGGCACGGUACCUGAAUGCAUAUCGAUUAUCGGUGACAGGUGACCAGUAGUCAAGAACAGACGGUACAGCAAAAGAGAGCAAGCGUACCAGUUCCUGGUUCCUACAGAUGUUGAGGAUGGACGAACGAAACAAAUCAGCGUGGGAAGCAAGGAACUGUUCAUUACAUUCAGGUGUAACGGAACUGGCGUUCUAACCAAAUUCUCAUCCGUGUCAGCAGUUUUAUCCACAACUACAUACCCAGCAAAAGCUCGGCAAAAAUUGUAGGACGAAAAUAUUUUACCGUACACGAAUAAUACAUCUGCGGGUUUACGGCACUGAAUAUCGGCCGAAGAGCUGAAACUGGCAACGGUGGAAACUGGUUGUAGAAAGAUAUAUACACUCAGUGCUUAAUGUAACAGAAAUUAGUCGAGUUGUGAAGGAUUUAAUUUAUUAUUCGGCAGAAUAGCAAAUGAUAAAUUUAAAUAUGUAAAACUAAAAAUAAAUUCUGAUAGAAUUAAAACUUAAAUAAA